AAGGCAGGAAUUGGGUGACGGGUCAUCCAUUGCAACAAUCAAGGACUGUACUGUGAGGUGAGAUGCUAGUUGCAGUUAGCUAGUCAGUCAGUCUCGCGCUCCAUCUCACUGUCAAAUUAAACAUGCAGUCUCAAUUCCGGGUCCCCUUUCCCACCUCACCUCACCCUGCAGUCCUGCACCCCUUACCUUACAAUCAGAGUCAGCUUAUCAGCAGAGAUUGAUCGUCAGAGUGGUCUGAUCCGUCUCCAUCCGCUGCUUAAUUGCUCUCGCUAGCAAAUAGAAAUGCAUGACACACCACAAUUAACCAACCAUGAAAAGGCUGAAAAGAAAAAGCAGCGGCGGCACAAGUUUCUUCUUCACAAUCACAAGCCUGCAGAGGUUUUCUGCAGGUUGCCAUGGCUCAUCACAAACCAGAGGAGGAAGACAAUGUUAGCAGCUAUGCAGCUAGCUUGCCGAUGGAAGGAGAUGAAGAGCUUGCAUUUUAUCACCACCGCGGACACGGACCCUCCUCUGCCUCAUUAUCCGCAAUCAAAGACCAAGAAGAAAAUUCCUCCUCCACAAAGAAGCCGCUGUCGGUGACGAGCUGCCUGUUGCCAGCACGCAGCCUGAGAUCAACAACGACUAUAAUCCCUGUUGCUCAAGCUCAAACCCAAGCCGACGGCGACGAGGCAUCCGGCGGCUUCCGGUCGCUGUCCUUCUCCAAGCUGUUCAGCUUCAGAAUGCCCAGGGCGCCGUCAUCGCUGGAUUACUUUGAUCAACUUGAUGAUGCUGCUGCUGCUGCUGCAAGUAACUCCGCCACUCUGACCCUAGAUAACAAGGAGGAGAAGCUGAAGCAGAUAUGCCGUUCACAGUCUGUGCCUACGAGCGUGAGGCGAUUCAACGCCAAAGCAGGGUUGAGAAGAGUGGCGGACUCCAGCUCCCUUGGCCUUGGCCCUGGCCCUGCUGGAGUGUUCCGGCUCAGAGUAGUAUCACUUGUUCCUGCUGAUCCAGAAGAGACAGGCGCCGGCAAGGAAGCAGAAGACAUCGCGGCGGAGGAGGCGGUGUGCCGGAUCUGCAUGGUGGCGCUGUCGGAGAGGGCCGACACCACCGGCACCGGCAGGGAGGGGGAAGCAGUGUUGAAGCUGGAGUGCAGCUGCAAGGGCGAGCUGGCCCUGGCGCACAGGGGCUGUGCCAUCAAGUGGUUCAGCAUCAAGGGCAACGGCACCUGCGACGUCUGCAGCCAGGAGGUGCUCAAUCUCCCCGUCACCCUGCGCCGCCUCCAUGACCAUCCGUCCACUCAGGUUCAGGCUACUCAGCAGCAGCAGCAGCAGCAGGCUGAUUCGACCAGCGGCAGCGGCAGCAGCAGCAGGGGUCGAUACAGAGUGUGGCACGGCACGCCAAUCCUCGUGAUCAUCAGCAUGCUCGCCUACUUCUGCUUCCUGGAACAGCUGCUGGUCAGCGACCAUGGCACGGCUGCUCUGGCCAUCUCUUUGCCCUUCGCCUGCGUCCUCGGCCUCUUCUCCUCUCUAACCACAACAAAGAUGGUGUCAAGGAGAUAUGUGUGGAUCUACUCUGCGGUCCAGUUCCUCUUCAUUGUGCUCUUCACCCACCUCUUCUACAGAUACGUGCGGAUGCAAGCAGUGAUUGCCAUAAUCCUGUCCACCUUUGCCGGCUUCAGCGUCGCCAUCUGUACCAACUCCGUCGUCCUCCAGAUUCUCAGAUGGAGGGCUAGGCGUGUGGCGUUGCCGAUCACAACCACAACCGGAGAAGAAGAAGAAGGCCGUGGUUCCAGGGAGCCCCCGGCGGCAGACCUUGAGAUCGCUCUGCCUCCGCUGUAGCGAGCUUCAUUUUGUCAUCCAAUCAUCUUCAGUUCAGUUCAGUUCACUCCAGCUCCACCUCCACAUCCAGCUUGCCAUGGAUAAAAGAGGAUUGUGGGGUAUCCAUCGGGCUGUAACAGGAAGAAAGAGUCAGUUUUGAACAUAUGCAAAUGGGCAGGCAGUUAAUCACAUUUUCAAUGCAUUGAAAUUCAAGAUAAUAACCCCAGGAAAAAUAUCAAAUUGUGGCUACAAUAAGAUCCACGAUUAAAGCUUCAGCACGUAUGGAGGAGAAAGCGAAACAGGUCCAUUGCAUCACAGGUCAUAAUUCCCAGUGUCACGGUACCAUGAGUUUAUCUCACAAGUAUUGAACCAAAAAUCAAAGGGCACAAGCUUCCCCAGGCAUUGCUUAAAAGGUACCAAAAUACUGAAGCAAUAAUUUGCAUAUUGUUCCAUGACACUGUAUCACAUGAUACAAAGGUGGGAGGCAAAUAUAUUUUGACAUGCAUAGUGCAGCAGAACAAGAACACAUAUGUAAUCUUGUGAAUUACAAAACGGUGCAACUUUGAGCCAAAAAGAAAAAGGUAAAUGUAACUUUCACAGGUUUGACAAGUCGCGAUGUUUCAGAUCAUACAUUCCCAGGUUUGUGACUACCUGAUGCACAGCACGAUCAAACUCAGACACUGCAGUGCCUCCCAAACUUAGUACUCCCUUUGUUCCUUUUCAUUUGACGAUUUAGAAUCUAUGCAGUGAAACAUUCCAAACUUUUAAUUUCAUAUGUUUAAAAUUAUUGAGCAGGAUAUAUGAAAACUACGUCACUAGACGUGUCAGUAAAAUACUUUUGUGAUGUUACAGUUUUAUAAAUCCUAGUGAUGUAGAGUUACAAAGAAGUAAUGAUCAAAGUUACAUCUAGGAGACUGUUAAAUAUUUAAAAAAGGCAAUAAAAAAAAGAACGGAUGGAACAAUUUCAUUUAUAGCUCUAAA
This is an RNA transcript of Phragmites australis (common reed), 2777 nucleotides long. RefSeq lists it as uncharacterized. The record is from RefSeq and is a predicted model, not a curated record. NCBI's taxonomy places the organism in Eukaryota, Viridiplantae, Streptophyta, Magnoliopsida, Poales, Poaceae. The transcript has 6 exons.